Molecule: ribosomal RNA, 253 nt
Filed under: uncultured bacterium
Lineage: Bacteria
Description: partial 16S ribosomal RNA
Rfam family: Bacterial small subunit ribosomal RNA
Source: RNAcentral
UACGAAGGGGGCAAGCGUUGUUCGGAAUGACUGGGCGUAAAGGGCGCGUAGGCGGUUCGUUGCGUCGUGCGUGAAAGACCCCGGCUCAACUGGGGAGUGUCGUGCGAUACGGGCGGACUGGAGGCCAGUAGGGGGAUGCGGAAUUCCGGGUGUAGUGGUGGAAUGCGUAGAGAUCCGGAGGAACACCAGCGGCGAAGGCGGCAUCCUGGACUGGUCCUGACACUCAGGAGCGAAAGCGUGGGGAGCGAUCCGG